Fukomys damarensis (Damara mole-rat) is the source of this 111-nucleotide ribosomal RNA. Lineage: Eukaryota; Metazoa; Chordata; Mammalia; Rodentia; Bathyergidae. The record is from Ensembl.
GUCUAUGGCUACACUGCCCUGAACGCACCCGGUCUUGUAUGAUCUCAGAAGCUAAGCAGGGUCAGACCUGGUUAGUACUAGGGUGGGAGAACACUUAUGUGGCGAUGGCCC